RNAcentral lists this small RNA (118 nucleotides) under Marmota monax (woodchuck). The record is from RNAcentral. Lineage: Eukaryota; Metazoa; Chordata; Mammalia; Rodentia; Sciuridae.
GCUGGGCGUGGUGGUGCAUGCCUGUAAUCCCAAAGGCUCUGGAGCCUGAGGUAGGAGUAUCUCGAGUUCAAAGCAGCAAAAGUGAGACACUAAGCAACUCAGGGAGACCCUAUCUCUA